RNAcentral lists this ribosomal RNA (427 nucleotides) under uncultured bacterium. RNAcentral describes it as "bacterial SSU rRNA". It matches the Rfam family "Bacterial small subunit ribosomal RNA", at positions 355 to 774 of the family's 1533-position model. The record is from RNAcentral.
UGGGGAAUAUUGGACAAUGGGGGAAACCCUGAUCCAGCGACGCCGCGUGUGUGAAGAAGGCCUGCGGGUUGUAAAGCACUUUUAGUGGGGAUGAAAUGUGCAGGGUUAACACCUCUGCAUUUUGACCUAACCCACAGAAAAAGCACCGGCUAACUCUGUGCCAGCAGCCGCGGUAAUACAGAGGGUGCAAGCGUUAAUCGGAAUUACUGGGCGUAAAGCGUGCGUAGACGGUUACAUAAGUCGGGUGUGAAAGCCCCGGGCUCAACCUGGGAAUUGCAUUCGAGACUGCGUAGCUAGGGUGCGGAAGAGGGAAGCGGAAUUUCCGGUGUAGCGGUGAAAUGCGUAGAUAUCGGAAGGAACACCAGUGGCGAAAGCGGCUUCCUGGUCCAGCACCGACGUUCAGGCACGAAAGCGUGGGGAGCAAACA